UAUUAAACUAGGGAUUGAUACCCUAUUAUUGUAGUGAGAGAGAAUUAUUAGGAAGUAAAUGUUAGAAGCAUUAAAUUUAAAUAAUUUGGCGGUAUUUUAUAAGGUUAGAGGAAUCUGUUAUGUAAUUGAUAAUCCACGGUAGGGGUAUCCUGAUAUAGUUUUAUGUAUUGUUGUUUAGAUAUUGAUUUAAGAGAAUUUGAUAGGAAUUUAAUUUAUGUGAGAAUAAUUCAAAUCAAAGUGUAGAGUUGUUAGGAAUAAAUGGAUUACAGUUUAUUAAAUAAUUGGAGUUUAUGUUUUUAAUAUAUAAAUGAAAGUGGAUUUAAUAGUAAGGUUAUUAAAUUAAAUAAAUUGAAAUGUAUUUAAAAUAUGUACAAAUUGCCAUCAUUU
RNAcentral lists this ribosomal RNA (387 nucleotides) under Crematogaster decamera. RNAcentral's name for it is "partial 12S ribosomal RNA". Lineage: Eukaryota; Metazoa; Arthropoda; Insecta; Hymenoptera; Formicidae. The record is from RNAcentral.